Taeniopygia guttata (zebra finch) is the source of this 1717-nucleotide long non-coding RNA. Lineage: Eukaryota; Metazoa; Chordata; Aves; Passeriformes; Estrildidae. The record is from Ensembl.
GGUGCUUCUCUCCUCAUACAGGAUUGCACAAUGUACUUGUGACAACCACAGUUGCUGUUUACAUGAAAAUGGAUUCUAGGAAAACACUCUGUAUUUCCAGAUGUCUUCAGUAGAACGUUUUCUUUCAGAUCUCAUUCUUUCCUUCUCCUCAGGAAAAUCCCCACAAAGUGCAUCCAUCAGUCUUUAUUUCUUGUUUUUCCUUGUUUUGUUUUUUUUUAAAGGACACUAAGUGUACUAGCACCCGUAACCUGUCAGCUUAUGAGAGGCCAGCACCACAUUCUUUGUAGUUCAACCAAGAACUUCAGACCACAAUUUGGCAGUUCCCAAAGCAGCCUACAACAGUAUCCUCACGUAUCUGGGCUGUAGUAACACAUUUCCCCUUGAAGCUCUGAAACUUAAUUUCUGCUGUCCUCUGACAACGCACUACCCUGGAGCCAUGUUACCUGGCAUUCUUUGGAGAUAAUUGCUGCCUGUGUGCUUUUUUCCACUGCGUGAACACCAGUAAACAGAAAACAGCUGAUUUUAGCCAUGGCCAUUUCAGCUUCUCCAGAUGCACAUUCUUAACCCCCUCGAAUACCUGAUAUUUUUGUUCUGUUCAGCUUUUCCCUAGCUUUAAUCUUUGUCCCUCUUACAGAAAACAUUACCAACUCCUAUGUUUUUGUGUUUCUACUUGUUUUCAUAGUCAUUCUAGCCGUAUGCUAACAAACAAAAACCAAUCCAAACAACCCCCCAAACCUACCCAAAACUCAAAAGCUCCCAUGCCUUUUCUGGAGAAAACGCCUUCUCCUAAAGAUGCAACUAGUCCUUUAAUCUGUGUGGACUGCAAAGUGUGUACAAUUCUCUUCCCUGGAAAGAAAAAACUCCAAACUUUUAAAGUGAUCUUAAUAGCUGGCAAGGAGAGCUGCAAUGUCAUUUGCGUAAUUGUCCUCUGGUCAGCUGGAAUUUGGAAGACUGCAGUUACCUCUCCUUGCUCAGCCUCCACCAGGGAUUCAUGGCUGCACAAAGGCUGCCUUUGCUAUCACCCUGGGAUGCCUGUAUAUCCUUCAGGUUUUUAAUAUGUCUUUCUGCUAUUAUCACAUUUAGUUUGGCUGAUAUUAAUAAAACCGGGAGUUUUGGUGGACCUUAUACACAUGUUUUAUUAAUCAAACAGUGCUGCAAUACAAAAAUGAUUGUGAUUAGUGUGACAAAGAAAUGGCAUCUGCUUAAUGCUUUGAGGAUCAGGUUAUCUUUGGGUUGAAACAAGAUGGAUUUGUCAGAAAUAAACCCACUGGACUGUGUUUUUUACACACAACAGUAGAGCAUAGUGUGCUGCUAAUGUUCAGGAAAUCAGCUUUCUCAGAGAAAAUAUUUAAGUGAAAAAAUAUAGCUAUUACUGUAUAAAACAGUAAUGUUUCCUAUUGGAGAACUCCACACCACUGGCUAAAGUGCAAAUUUAAGAACGUGCAAUGGGCCAGACAGAGAAUUUGGUCUGGCUUUGUGGUUGCUGCUCUGUAAACGGAUUUUAGCACUGCAGUCUAUUCUGCUCCGGCAGAUAAAUGGACCGUCAUAUAUACCGUCAGGCGGAAUUAAAGCCAAAUUUGGUUUUCCAAAAUUGUACCCAGUUUUCCCCUCCAGCUUGUGCCCUGCACCACUGCUCAGCACAAAAGAGGGAAGGCGGUAACAAAGCAUAACCAGGCUAAUUAGGUCAGAGCCAAGCCGGGCGCGAUGCGGCCACUGC